Molecule: long non-coding RNA, 1722 nt
Organism: Myotis brandtii (Brandt's bat)
Lineage: Eukaryota; Metazoa; Chordata; Mammalia; Chiroptera; Vespertilionidae
Exons: 4
Source: RefSeq, a predicted model, not a curated record
CAGGUGAAGGGGAUUGCCGUUGAUGGUGUGGUGGGUUGAAGACCUUCGGAGCAAAAACUGAUGUUUCCCAGAGUAGAAGGAAUUCUGCUUCAGGACUGUAACAGAGCAAUCCUUUCUGGCGAGUGAUGUCGUCCAGAGGGCACCAGAGCUCAUUCCCGACUUCAGUCCUCUUCACAAGAAGGCCAGCCAGCAACCACCCACAGACAAGACACCGUUGUGAAACCCCAGAGCCCGGGAGUGAGGCUGAAGCACCGCCUGGACCACAGAGACCAAGAGGAGCCGGGUCUGAAGGAGGUGCCUGAGUGGAGAUCCCAGCCAGCAGCUCUGCUCUUCUAUGAGUGGGGCUGCGGGGCAGGAGGGCGAGGAGGAACCGGUGAAGCCAUUCAGAGCAGGGUCGCAGCAGGAGCAGGGCAGAUGGGAACAACCUGGAGUCGGUGAGGGCGGAGGAGGGAAAGCCUGCAGCUGCCAGGAGUUUGCCUGGUUUGUCCGAAGCGUCAGGAAGCCCCUCGAGAAUGGGACCCGGUCCGUGUCUCCUCACAGUAUGUACCCUGUGCCUGGCACGGAGCCCGCCAUGUAGUAAAUAUUUGUUGACUGAGUUAAAAGGGAGUGUAUGAGUGAAUUCGCCAUCUACAUGUUUUACAUAAAAUCCUUCCUUCCUUAGCCUGCCGCCUGCUGCACACAUUUCAGACACAGGGCUGCCUGCCUGAGGCUCCAUAGAUUCCAGGCUGGCCAGCCUGUGGCAUGAAGCAAGUCUCUGUAACCUAUAGAUGCACUCAAUUUGCAAGUGAAAUUAUGCAUGUUCCAGGUUCCACAGUACCUGAAAGCAUGCGUGUUCCAGGUUCCGCAGUACCUGAAAGCAUGCAUGUUCGAGGUUCUGUAGUACCUAAAAGUAUCUAGUAUGCGUGUUCCAGGUUCCGUACUACCACAGAAACAACUAAAGGCCCUUUCAUGGAGUUAGUUGAAAAAUUAUGGCACACCCAUCACUAGAAUACUUUGCAUCCAUAAACAAACAAACAAAAAGCUCUCUAUGUUCUUAUACUGAAUUUUAUCCAAUAGUGAGUGAAAAAAGCAAGAUACAGAAUAGGUUAUCUGGGUGCUAUCAUUUGUAUAAUGGAGGGAGUAGAGUAACUCCCACAUAUAGUCUCUUGAAGGAUAUAUAUGAAAGUCAUCAUAUUGGUUGUUUCUGGGGAAUAAGAACAUCUUUUUGUGACUUUGAAAUUUGAUACCAAGGCACUGAGAGCCUCGGGCAGAAGCAUGAUGCAGACCAUUGCGGGUGGUUCGAGCCUGGGAGAGGCUUCUGUCCCCAAACCUGGGAUGCACACAGAAGGGCUGCAGAGACUGGGAGCAGGUCUUGCUAGAGAGAGGCAUGGGCAGAUUUGAAACUGGGAAUGAAUGUGGCCCUAAAAGGAGGGUCUUAGGCUCUCGUCAUGAUUGACAUCCGAUAGUCUUGUCCAUAACAUCAUUAUUAAACACAGCCCUUUCGGUACCUUUUUUUUUCUAUUUUGCUUGUAAGUAGGCUCAGGUUUUCCGGAAGGUGGGAUCUGAAGGUAGCACAUGCCGGGGCCUUACUGCCACAGGCUGUCCCAGAAGGACGGCCACUGGGCUUCUUUACUUAUGGGGACAGCUGGGUACAAUCAGAAGGAGAUGGGCCAGGCAUGCAGGGCCUGCGCUGCCAGGACAUGCCAAACCCUCCCAUCCUUUAAAAAUAGGAACUGAGCCCUG